GCUGGAAUCGCUAGUAAUCGCGGAUCAGAAUGCCGCGGUGAAUACGUUCCCGGGUCUUGUACACACCGCCCGUCACACCAUGGGAGUCGGAAAUGCCCGAAGUCGGUGACCUAACUGAAAGGAAGGAGCCGCCGAAGGCAGGUCUGGUGACUGGGGUGAAGUCGUAACAAGGUAGC
This 176-nucleotide ribosomal RNA is filed under the name uncultured bacterium. RNAcentral describes it as "partial 16S ribosomal RNA". It matches the Rfam family "Bacterial small subunit ribosomal RNA", at positions 1325 to 1500 of the family's 1533-position model. The record is from RNAcentral.